AUGUUGUCAGAAGACAGAGAAGCUCAGGAGGGUGAAUUGUUGGCCCUGGAGAGUAUUUAUGAUGGGGAUGAAUUUAGAAAAGCAGAGUCUGUUCAAAGUGGAGAAACCAGGUUCCAUUUGGAUUUGCCACAGAAUUUCAAGAUAUUUGUGAGUGCUAUCUGCUCUAUGCAAGCAUGUAGACAUCCUAUGGGAAGAACACCAUGGCAGCAUGGUCCUUUUUGCCUGGAUGCAGUUUGUUAAGGAAGAGACGCUAGUGUACUUGAAUAUUGUCUCUCCUUUUGAGCUCAAGAUGGGUUCUCAGAAAUAAGUGUAGAGAAUGACAGCCCAAGCCUCUCCCAGCACAAAGCUAGAUACUGGAGGAGCUGCUGGAUCUAAUGUAGGCCAAGAGGAAAUUGUGGAUGAGAGAGCUGUGCGGAUGUGGAAUCACUGUCAAGUCUAAUCCAGAAAAUCUUGGACUUUGAUCAAGCUCAGCACAUAAAAUGCUUUAAUAGUAAAUUUUUCCUGUGCAAUAUGUUUCUGUGAGAAGCUGGGCAGUGAAUGCAUGUACUUCUUGGAGGGCAGGUAUGUAUACUGCAAAGCUUGUCUGAAGGACGACUUUGAACUCCAGAUCAGAGAUGGUCAGGUCCAAUGCCUCAACUGCCCAAAACCAAAGUGUCCUUUGAUGGCCACUCCUGGUCAGGUCAAAGAGCUAGUGCCUGUUAUCACUGCCUUCUCCUCCAGUCCACUUUGAACUUGAUGGCACAUGUGGUGUACUGCCCCUGCUCAUGCUGCCCAGCUGCCCGUGAUGCAGAAUCCUGGCUGCAGCAUGGGCAUCUGCUCUAGCUGCAAUUUUGCCUUCUGUACCUUGGGCAAAUUGACCUACCAUGGGGUCUCUCUAUGUAAGGUGACUGCAGAUAAAUUAAUAGACUUAUGAAAUAAAUCCCUGAAUGCAGAUGAGGCCAAUAAAAGAUUUUUGUAACAAAGGUAUCGUAAGAGGGUGAUUCAGAAGGCACUGGAAGAGAUGGAAAGUAAGGAGGGGCUAGAAAAGAACUCAAAGGGCUGCCAUGUUGUGGAACUCCCAUAGAGAAAUUGAUGAAUGUAAUAAGAUGACAUGUACUGGCUGUAUGCAAUAUUUCUGUUGGAUUUGCAUGGGUUCUUUCUCUAGAGCAGACUCUUACAAACAUUUCACUGAUCCUACCUCAUCAUGUUUUAAUGGGCUGUUUCAUGCUGUGGAUGUUAAUGGAGAUAUUUGGGAAGAUGGGAUUGAAGACUAG
RNAcentral lists this long non-coding RNA (1253 nucleotides) under Homo sapiens (human). RNAcentral's name for it is "non-protein coding lnc-NXPH2-7:1". The record is from RNAcentral. Lineage: Eukaryota; Metazoa; Chordata; Mammalia; Primates; Hominidae.